GUGAGGAAUAUUGGACAAUGGGCGCAAGCCUGAUCCAGCCAUGCCGCGUGCAGGAAGACGCAUCUAUGGUGUGUAAACUGCUUUUGUACGGGAAGAAACACUCCCUCGUGAGGGAGCUUGACGGUACCGUAAGAAUAAGGAUCGGCUAACUCCGUGCCAGCAGCCGCGGUAAUACGGAGGAUCCAAGCGUUAUCCGGAAUCAUUGGGUUUAAAGGGUCCGUAGGCAGUUUAAUAAGUCAGUGGUGAAAGCCCAUCGCUCAACGAUGGAACGGCCAUUGAUACUGUUAGACUUGAAUUACAAGGAAGUAACUAGAAUAUGUAGUGUAGCGGUGAAAUGCUUAGAUAUUACAUGGAAUACCAAUUGCGAAGGCAGGUUACUACUUGUGGAUUGACGCUGAUGGACGAAAGCGUGGGGAGCGAACAGGAUUAGAUACCCCGGUAGUCC
This 445-nucleotide ribosomal RNA is filed under the name uncultured bacterium. RNAcentral describes it as "partial 16S ribosomal RNA". It matches the Rfam family "Bacterial small subunit ribosomal RNA", at positions 354 to 796 of the family's 1533-position model. The record is from RNAcentral.